RNAcentral lists this ribosomal RNA (496 nucleotides) under uncultured bacterium. Its description in RNAcentral is "partial 16S ribosomal RNA". It matches the Rfam family "Bacterial small subunit ribosomal RNA", at positions 29 to 507 of the family's 1533-position model. The record is from RNAcentral.
AUGCACGCUGGCGGCGUGCCUAAUACCUGCAAGUCGAGCGAACAGACGAGGAGCUUGCUCCUCUGACGUUAGCGGCGGACGGGUGAGUAACACGUGGAUAACCUACCUAUAAGACUGGGAUAACUUCGGGAAACCGGAGCUAAUACCGGAUAAUAUAUUGAACCGCAUGGUUCAAUAGUGAAAGACGGUUUUGCUGUCACUUAUAGAUGGAUCCGCGCCGCAUUAGCUAGUUGGUAAGGUAACGGCUUACCAAGGCAACGAUGCGUAGCCGACCUGAGAGGGUGAUCGGCCACACUGGAACUGAGACACGGUCCAGACUCCUACGGGAGGCAGCAGUAGGGAAUCUUCCGCAAUGGGCGAAAGCUUGACGGAGCAACGCCGCGUGAGUGAUGAAGGUCUUCGGAUCGUAAAACUCUGUUAUUAGGGAAGAACAAAUGUGUAAGUAACUAUGCACGUCUUGACGGUACCUAAUCAGAAAGCCACGGCUAACUACGUG